AGUGAACGCUGGCGGUAGGCCUAACACAUGCAAGUCGAACGGCAGCACAGUAAGAGCUUGCUCUUACGGGUGGCGAGUGGCGGACGGGUGAGGAAUACAUCGGAAUCUACUUUUUCGUGGGGGAUAACGUAGGGAAACUUACGCUAAUACCGCAUACGACCUACGGGUGAAAGCAGGGGAUCUUCGGACCUUUCGCGAUUGAAUGAGCCGAUGUCGGAUUAGCUAGUUGGCGGGGUAAAGGCCCACCAAGGCGACGAUCCGUAGCUGGUCUGAGAGGAUGAUCAGCCACACUGGAACUGAGACACGGUCCAGACUCCUACGGGAGGCAGCAGUGGGGAAUAUUGGACAAUGGGCGCAAGCCUGAUCCAGCAAUACCGCGUGGGUGAAGAAGGCCUUCGGGUUGUAAAGCCCUUUUGUUGGGAAAGAAAAGCAGCAGGUUAAUACCCCGAUGUUCUGACGGUACCCAAAGAAUAAGCACCGGCUAACUUCGUG
RNAcentral lists this ribosomal RNA (492 nucleotides) under uncultured bacterium. Its description in RNAcentral is "partial 16S ribosomal RNA". It matches the Rfam family "Bacterial small subunit ribosomal RNA", at positions 29 to 507 of the family's 1533-position model. The record is from RNAcentral.